This 1506-nucleotide long non-coding RNA is filed under the name Macaca fascicularis (crab-eating macaque). RNAcentral's name for it is "lncRNA (ENSMFAG00000063546.1)". The record is from RNAcentral. Lineage: Eukaryota; Metazoa; Chordata; Mammalia; Primates; Cercopithecidae.
GAGGAUGUUCAUUGCUUGCUAGUGCCUUUCAGAUACCCUACAGCAUAAGCAGGAAGGUGCCUACCUAGUUCUUUACAAAUCACUCAAGCUAGCUCUUGCUCAACUAUGUCUAAUUGCCUGCUGCAUAGGUCAUAUCUUUUUCCUCAGCCUAAACCUGAACAUGAGCCUGAGCCUGUAAAUAAUUUUUAUUCAAAAUAUUAGAUUCAUUCAUUUUCUCACUGUCUCCAAGGUCCCUGGGAGUUAAGCCCUUUCUGGCUGCAACUUUAAAAAGUGUUUUUGUGGCAGGCACUGCUAGUUGUCAACCCAAUAGCCAUAUUUUCCCCUUUCUGAUAAGAGAACCUGAAUUUUCUUCUGGGUAGCAAUGCAUCUAGCUAAAGUGUACAUUUCUCACUCUUGUUUGCAGCUAGGUGACCAUGUGUCAAAGUUUUGGCCAAUGAGGUAUAAGUAGCAGACUACAGGCAAGGUUUCUGGAAAAGCUAUAGUUUCCUGUUGUAUUAGUCCGUUUUCACACUGCUGAUAAGACAUACCAGAGACUGGGCAAUUUACAAUAGAGGUUUAAUUGGACUUAUAGUUCCACGUGGCUGGGGAAGCCUCACAAUCAUGGCAGAAGGCAAGUAGUAACAAGUCACAUGUUAACAUGGAUGGCAGCAGGCACAAGAGAGAAACUGUGCAGGAAAACUCCCAUUUUUAAAACCAUCAGAUUCGAUAAUCUCCCACUGGGUCCCUCCCACAACACAUGGGAAUUACGGGAGCUACAAGAUAAGAUUUGGGUGGGGACGCAGAGUCAAACCAUAUCACCAGUUUAAAAAAGAUCGCUUUGGUCUUUUGUUUUUGCCUUUCUCUUUCUUCUUCUCCCCCCUACCUGAAAGAUGGACCUUAUGCUCAAGGUGGAGAAGCCACAACAUGACUGUGCGAUGAACACCACACCCUAAGGAAAGCAAACCAGAAGGAUGGGAGGAUCCCAGGAUGUUAAUGUCACUGGAACCACCUGUCUCUGAACUUCCUCUUGAUUAAGUUACCAUAGUGGGGUUUUUAUUUCAUUCAGCCUAAUGUAAUGCCUAAAUGACAUAGUCUUUUUAAAUGUGGUUUAUCUACUUUGUUAAACAGCUUAGUAAUUUUUACUAACCUAACUUUUAGGCGAAGUAUUUACUGUCCCGUUCUCUAGGAACACUUUAAGAGAAUUCCAGCUCAAGGAAUAAUUGCUGGCAGUAUGAUAAGAGUAAGUUUAAGAACCUCUGGCCUUUGGGAGGCCGAGACGGGCGGAUCAUGAGGUCAGGAGAUUGAGACCAUCCUGGCUAAUAUAUGGUGAAACCCGUCUCUACUAAAAAAUACAAAAAAACUAGCCCGUGGCGGGCACCUGUAGUCCCAGCUACUUGGGAGGCUGAGGCAGGAGAAUGCUGUGAACCCGGGAGGCGGAGCUUGCAGUGAGCCGAGAUCCGGCCACUGUGCCACAGCCUGGGCAACAGAGCGAGACUCCGUCUCAAAAAAAAAAAAAAAAAAAAAAAA